This is a long non-coding RNA of Sabethes cyaneus, 528 nucleotides long. RefSeq lists it as uncharacterized. The transcript has 3 exons. NCBI's taxonomy places the organism in Eukaryota, Metazoa, Arthropoda, Insecta, Diptera, Culicidae. The record is from RefSeq and is a predicted model, not a curated record.
ACCUACAUGGAAAGCAAACUAGCUGAUGGGUGGCCUGUUUUCGGGCUACCUUCAUUCCGGUCACGUUGUUCGAUUUUAUUUGCUCCUGUCAAGCCAGCAUUAAUUUCGUCCAGAAUUACCUAGACCAAAGCAGUGGUGGUGAUCUCUAGCUGCAUGCAGUUCAAGUUAACACGAAGUGUUCAAGUGUAAAUUAGCAUCUCUUUUUGCAUUAUGAACCGCAAAUAAACGAAACGAAAACUAGCAUAGUGCCGAAACUGUAUCCCUUGGCCAGCACAGGUCCGUAGAAAAUUCCUGAAUGUCGACAACCAUGGAUAAAUCAGUAAAUCUGGCAUCAUUGCGAGGCGGUUGAUAAAGCAGAUCUGACAGAACACAUUUGAACGCGAUAGAACAGCUUUGGACAGCAUUAAAACUACAAGUUUGGUGUUUAAGGUCAUUGCCGAUAUGCUUAAUAAAAAUUAUUGGAAUUUUAUUUAACGUUUGCUUGAGAUUUUUGACGUAGGACUACGUCUUUGUUUACUAUACUGGGUU